UUGAACGCUGGCGGCAUGCCUUACACAUGCAAGUCGAACGGCAGCACGGGUGCUUGCACCUGGUGGCGAGUGGCGAACGGGUGAGUAAUACAUCGGAACAUGUCCUGUAGUGGGGGAUAGCCCGGCGAAAGCCGGAUUAAUACCGCAUACGAUCUACGGAUGAAAGCGGGGGACCUUCGGGCCUCGCGCUAUAGGGUUGGCCGAUGGCUGAUUAGCUAGUUGGUGGGGUAAAGGCCUACCAAGGCGACGAUCAGUAGCUGGUCUGAGAGGACGACCAGCCACACUGGGACUGAGACACGGCCCAGACUUCUACGGGAGGCAGCAGUGGGGAAUUUUGGACAAUGGGCGAAAGCCUGAUCCAGCAAUGCCGCGUGUGUGAAGAAGGCCUUCGGGUUGUAAAGCACUUUUGUCCGGAAAGAAAUCCUUGGCUCUAAUACAGUCGGGGGAUGACGGUACCGGAAGAAUAAGCACCGGCUAACUACGUGCCAGCAGCCGCGGUAAUACGUAGGGUGCGAGCGUUAAUCGGAAUUACUGGGCGUAAAGCGUGCGCAGGCGGUUUGCUAAGACCGAUGUGAAAUCCCCGGGCUCAACCUGGGAACUGCAUUGGUGACUGGCAGGCUAGAGUAUGGCAGAGGGGGGUAGAAUUCCACGUGUAGCAGUGAAAUGCGUAGAGAUGUGGAGGAAUACCGAUGGCGAAGGCAGCCCCCUGGGCCAAUACUGACGCUCAUGCACGAAAGCGUGGGGAGCAAACAGGAUUAGAUACCCUGGUAGUCCACGCCCUAAACGAUGUCAACUAGUUGUUGGGGAUUCAUUUCCUUAGUAACGUAGCUAACGCGUGAAGUUGACCGCCUGGGGAGUACGGUCGCAAGAUUAAAACUCAAAGGAAUUGACGGGGACCCGCACAAGCGGUGGAUGAUGUGGAUUAAUUCGAUGCAACGCGAAAAACCUUACCUACCCUUGACAUGGUCGGAAUCCCGCUGAGAGGUGGGAGUGCUCGAAAGAGAACCGGCGCACAGGUGCUGCAUGGCUGUCGUCAGCUCGUGUCGUGAGAUGUUGGGUUAAGUCCCGCAACGAGCGCAACCCUUGUCCUUAGUUGCUACGCAAGAGCACUCUAAGGAGACUGCCGGUGACAAACCGGAGGAAGGUGGGGAUGACGUCAAGUCCUCAUGGCCCUUAUGGGUAGGGCUUCACACGUCAUACAAUGGUCGGAACAGAGGGUUGCCAACCCGCGAGGGGGAGCUAAUCCCAGAAAACCGAUCGUAGUCCGGAUUGCACUCUGCAACUCGAGUGCAUGAAGCUGGAAUCGCUAGUAAUCGCGGAUCAGCAUGCCGCGGUGAAUACGUUCCCGGGUCUUGUACACACUGC
This 1365-nucleotide ribosomal RNA is filed under the name uncultured beta proteobacterium. RNAcentral describes it as "bacterial SSU rRNA". It matches the Rfam family "Bacterial small subunit ribosomal RNA", at positions 29 to 1393 of the family's 1533-position model. The record is from RNAcentral. Lineage: Bacteria; Pseudomonadati; Pseudomonadota; Betaproteobacteria.